ACCUUGUGUGACAGUCCCCUAAGAAUGGAGAAUUUUCUCAAUUCCUGGCAACCUUCAUGCUUCCAAUCCCACCCAUAUCUCUUGGAAAUGAAAGUUUCUACCCAGGUCCACUUUAUCUUUUCGUCGUAUUCGCUCUCAGUGUCAGACGGUGUUCCCAAUAGGACAUUUAAGCAUGUUGCUAUUGAGAUGGCUAGAUCAGCAGCGUUUUCAACAGCUGCUACAACAGCCUGCAGUAUAUGCUUGUAUGCUCGAACAAUCAUUUCAUGGAUACAAAGGGAUUGCACAUGAGGGAGCUUGUCAGCCAGCUCGACCUAAGAUGAAAGAAGAAAAGAGUGACUACUAAAGAAACGGGCCACUUUGCUUGUCUAAGCAUAUUCCUCCAAUUUGAAGCAAAGGUACCAAAAACUAUAAUUGAAAUGGUUACCACUCUCCCCAAGGAAUGCAUCUGUAAGCCUCUGGUGUGCAUAAAGUCAGUCAGAGUUCUCCCAUCGACGGGUGAGAGUUCAAGAGAUCCAAAGUCUGCCACCUGCAAUGUAUCAAUUCGAAGUUUAUGAGGAGCUGAGGAUUAUUACUAUAGAGGGAAAAAAAGUCCAAGGAACUGACCAGUUUCGGAAGAGCGGUGUCAGUGUAGUAUUUGCGGGACAUCUCAAUCAGCUCUCUUGGUGACUGCAGGACAAGUUCAUGGAGAGAGAGUACACAAGGUAAGAUUCAUAAAAGCCAACUAGGUAAGUAGACGUCGUCUCUUAUUACUAUAUAAUAAUGUUAUCAGCUGGUGAAACAAACAAACCUUGAGAUGAAAACCAGUUUCUGAUUCUUUAAGACGCUGAUAUGCAGCUUCUGUCACUAAUUCUUUCCACAUCUUUUCCAUCUCCUCAUUUUGUUUCUCGAGUUCCUUCUGAUCCUCAGUUUCUGAUUUAUUGUCAUUGUCAACGGUAUUAGCAAGGGCAUCCUUGCCCUGUUCAGACUUGUUAGCUUUCACAUCAAUCUUCUUUUUAAUCUCCUUUAGAAGUCCACCUUGCUUUCCAAGACCCUUAACAGGUGGUUCAGGCUUAGCAUCUUCAGUGUUCUUAGAAUCAGUUUUGUUUGAAGCUUGAUUUUGCAGAUGUUGCACCCAACAAGCUCCUAAUUCCCACCUUAUAGGCUUGGUAUUCCUUGAGGGCUCAGCUUCCAAUUUCUGCAGACUGUCCUCAAAUACUUUCCUCACAAGGGACUUAACCACACGUAUUUGUUCUGAGUCUGCAUUUGGUGAUCUCUGAGCUAUGCUGGAAGGAGUUGACGACUUGUGUAACAGAGUCCUCAAGCUGAAAUGAAUAUUCAGAAAACGAUUGCUAAAUACCAUAUAUUUCCCAAUUCACAUAUAGUAUGCCAAAAUGUCAAUUAUGCCAAGAGAAAUGCAAAUAUGAGAUGCCUUUGUUGCUCGAAACUUUACACAACCAUGAGGAAUUAGUAAGACUAACGCAUAUACAACACAAGAUGAUUUUUACCUAUUUACAUUCAGUGCAUUUGCACCUCCAUCUGAUUGGUCUUCAAUGUCUAUAUCCAGUGGGAGACUGCCCACAUCCAAGUUAAAUUCAGCAGCAACCUUCACAAUAGCUGUGAAACCACAAUGUCUGACAACCACCACACCCAAGGUCGAUGUAUCCUGUAUGAUUGAAUAAAUCUCAGUAACAAAUCCAGCAAGAGGAAACUAAGAAAAUUAGCACAAGCUAUAACAAAAUUACAUGAACCGUCGCACUCUCAUCAGCAGUGAUCCCUUUAAGCAAAUUUCUCUGAGCAAGUUCUUCCUGAGAGAUCUCUAGAACCCGAGUCCCAUCACUCUUUCGGUCUAGCUUGGAACUGGCAUCAGGGUCAUCUCUAGCAGGAAAGAUUAGCGCAUAGGUCAAUAAUGAUGGUGAAGAUUAUGAAGAAACAGAGCAAAGACACAUAAGAAAGUAACAAACCCAUUCUCCAGGGCAGAGAGCGCGGUAGUACUUGGCGAACCUCUCGCAAUCAACAGAGUCCUCACCCUUUGCAGUUGUGCACCUACAAAGAUGGUUUUUGUUUUUUAAACGUUAGAAUAGAUUGAAGAGCCACUAAGUAACUCAAUCAAGCAAGAGUACAUGUUGAAACUAGAAUAAGAGUUCCACCUGUGGAACUCAAUGUAACGGGUGAAGCAGUGUCUUGUCUGGUUUGUUGUAGGGAAGCGGAAAUCAGCAGGAGCAGUUUUCAGAUCAAUCUGACACAAAUAGAAAUAACAAAAACAAGUAAGACACCGAGACACACUUCCUAGUGACUGACAAAGAGGAAAACGAUAACUUCAUUUUUUUCUUUCUCUUCAGCAUAUUCUAUUGCAAUAAGAUAUAUAUUUCUUCUCAAUUAAAAAAACGUCUUCACAAUUCAAAGCUUUCAUCUCUCUUUGCCUUUUGAUUCUUAAAUCUAACUCCCGACCAUAUUGAACACACCACACGCACGCAACCAAACCAAGUAGCUAAGCUAGCUUCCAUCAAAAUAGAAUUACAUACAAAGAAUCUAAACGAUACGUAGUGACCAAAUCAGAUCUUGAAUCGAGGUCGAAUUUUCAAAACCAGAAUUUAGAUAUAUUUUUUUCCACAAUCUCCGGCGGGAAACAAAGCUAAUAUCAUUUUUUUUAUGUUGAAUAAAUAUGAAAAGAAGAACGAUUACCUCAUCCUCCAUGGCUGAUUCUGAAGAGGAACGAUGAGAAGGUUUGGUUGGUUAGGAGAAAGAGGAGACGGAGUCUAUUGAAAAUGAAUGAAGUUUGAAGAUGGCCACCAUUCUCUCCGGUGACGACUUGGAGAAGCCAAAAGGCCGCGUCCAGUGUUGGGCUUCCAUAAAUUAAUGGGCCUAAUUGUUUUUGUUGGUUCAAGUUUUUAACCAUCCGAUGGGUUAAAGUCGGUUUAGUUUAGCCGAUUUCAUUUUGGUUGUUGGACCUCCUCUUCCAGUCAAGAGAGUUGAGCAGAGAGCAUCUCUGACUGCGACUCUGCUUCCUCGUUGAAUCCUCAAACUCCCACAAUACAAUAGAUAUAAUCAGGGUGUUCGCCUUUUAGGAGCCCAUGAGUUAUCGAGUUCACAACACUGAACACUAUUCAGUGUAAAUCAAAACACAUAGCAAAACAAAAGGACAAAAUGACUUUAUUCGGAGGCUCCUCAACGAUUCAACACUUUUUAGUUUUCAGCUAUGGAAACCAAAAAGAAAAAAAAACUGAAAGCAAGAGUAAUGUUGUUAAAGCAUGAGGUACUGAGUCUUGGUCCUGCGCUGCAACACAAAAUAUCCAAAUGUAGAAAUGCUUCAAACCUCAUCCAUGGAGCCAAGUUUCUCUCCAUUCCUUUUAGCCUCAAUGUUAAAACUUCAAUGACAGAAAAAUUGCUUCUUCAAUUUGUGACUUCAAUUUCAUUGUCGCUGUAAUCUCCCCAGCACUUGCCUCCUUGUCCUUUCCCAUUAGAUAUCUCUUGUGCUGUGGUUUUCUCUUCACCUUCUGUCGAGUGUCCAUUUUCAGGUGUUUCUUGUGCAAUGACUUCUUCAUCCUCUGCACCUUUCUUCUCCUUGUUGCUCUCUUCUUCACCUCCACUCUUCUCCUCAGCCAUUUCAGUACCAGGUAAUCCCUCCAAAGCCACUGGUGUAUGCCCAUUCUGAGGCUGUACAGGUAUGUUACACGGAUAUGCACCUUCUGCUACUGGCGACAACGGGUACCCAUUCUGUGUUAUUUCCGUCCCAUUUGGUGAUGCCAAAUAUCCGUUUGGUGACACUGGAUAACCAUUAGAAACCCAUGGUUGACUCGGUAUGAACUCAGCCGCGUGAGGGUUCAUUAUCCUUGGGCCAAUGAAUUGAUUAGCAUCGCCAUUGGACUCAGCGAUAAUGGGGAAGCUUGGUUUGUUGCGAGGAACCCUGUUUCCAGAUCGGUUGUAACCACCACCUGAGAGCCUUGGUCCAUAGGGAACUCGAGCUGUUACAGACUGAUGAGGAGUUGACCUCCGGACAUGGUUUACAGGAAGCAUUGGCGGUAUGUUCAAUGGGGAGGGAAGGAUUCCCACGUGGUCGUUGAAUCCUGGAACUGCUAUCGACCCAAAAAUUGGAAUGGUCGUUGGGGUAUAGGGCGGUGCCGAAGCAGAGAGCUUCUUGCUCAUCUCCUUUUGUGCCUCGCAUGCUUCUUGCUUUUCUCCAUCUGCAACUACUGAUGUCUUUGGGCUUGAGUCUCCAUUGGGCAGAUCUUCCGUUUCACCAUCUACUGCUUUCAGUUCAGUACCAGAGACAUCCUUAUGUUGCUUCACUCCAUUUGAGUCCUCAGCCGUUUGUACACUUUCUGAUUUUCCUUGACUUGCAUCUGAAACAGCUGUCUCUGUUGGAGAUCCUUCUGCUGCUGCCUUUUCAGCCUUGAUAUCCUCUGGUGAACUCAUCGACUCUGAUCCACCAACAGCCACCCCUCCUUGUUCAUUGCUAUCAGCAUUUUUUGCUUCAGUUUCUGUAGUCACAUGCUUAUUCUCACUAACAACAUCCUCACCGUUAACUUUUUCAGGACCAUCUACUGCGACUUUUGCUGCAUCCAAAGUCUCUGGAGCAGUCGUUUCUUCUGGCAACUGCUCCGCAACUAUUUUCACAAUUGUUCCAGGGGGUGCCAGUGCAACUUCCUUAUAGGAAAACAGUUUUCCAGCUUGGGAAGUCACAGGACUCACCAUCAGAGUUGGCUUGUUGAUCUGUUCGGUGCAAGGUGAGCUUACCAGGGCUGAUUUACUGUUAACUGGCUUUUCUACCACUACACUGGAACUGUUUUGCUUUCUGUUCAAACUUGAGCUCUUCAAAAGCUUCUUCGCGUGCUGGGAAGUAGAACCACCAGCAGAAAUUGUAAGCUCAUUUGAAUUAGUCCUUGGGGAUGCGAAGUUAGUGGAUUUUCCUCUGCUUUUUGUUGUCUGCUGGGUCACGUUCAUGAAGUUUGUGUUCAGCUUUGCCAGGCUGGGACGGGUUCUUCGCCCAGAAGGAUGACGAUUUUUUGGGACAGCUUCUUGCCAUCCUUCGUCAGAGUCAUCAUCCACUUGUGCCGUGGACUCUAGCUUAACCAGCGUCAGCUGAUCUUGAGGUUGCAAAUCAAGUUUAUCAACCUUUGUUUCUUCAGGUUUUGCAUCUGAUUUGUUCUCCUUGUCACUUGAGCUCUCCCCAGUGAUACUAGUCGGACUCAGAAUUUCAUCAUCUUUCUGAUUAUCUUCAGACACAGGUCCUGGACUUUGUCCUGGUCUUCCCUUGACCUGAAUAAACAUUUUCGAUCAAAAUAUCUGUCACAACUUAGUUAAUGAGAGCAGUUCAGUAAAAACAUGAAUUAAGUCAGCAGAAAGCAAUUAUAACCUUUAGGCGAGCUUUCCUUUGAGCGUCCCUUGCUUUAAGAUCAGUAUCCGGGGUUAUAUAAUCUAGCAGGUCCGAUACACUGUUAUUGGGAAGAAAGCUUAUGAGUUACAUAAUCCGGACAAGAGUUUACGCAAGAUAUAACUUUAUACUAUUUCUAUCUUUUGGUCCCUAUGUACAGAAUGUAAACGGUGCUAAGAAUAUAUAAAAGGCAAACGUUUUAAUACCUGAGAUGGCCUUUGCUGGAAAUAGAGGCGUCUGGCUUGGGAGUACCAUUUCGUGCAGCUUCUUGCUGUUCCAGAGCUUUAGACUCAAAAUACUCGAGCCACGCAGCCGCAUCCUAAAACAAUUCUGGAGCGUAAGAAACUUUGUAAGUGAAACUAAAUGUAAUUAGUAGCUAAUUACGCACCUGUGUCCGAAGAUCCUCAGGGCCAAGUUUUGCCUGUAGAAUCUGUAGAGUUGUCUGCUCAUGCUGGACGCUCAAGGAGUAUGCUUCCAUCAGAGAAAGAGCAAUAGCAAUGGCAUGGUAGCUUGCAGCAGUCUGAAAAAAAUAUAUAACAGAAGUAGUUCAAUUCUCAAGUGCAUCGCUUAAGCUUCCACAGUAAAAUUUACCAUUUAAAUGCAAGUCCUUGCAGCAAAACCAACCUGGAUAUGAUCAGCUCCAAGUAGUCUCUGGUUACAUUUCAACGCUUCAUGAAGGUAUCUUAAAGCCACAUGGACAUUCCCCAAACCUUCUUCCAUCAUCGCUACAUUAAUAUAAGUGGCAGCAGUAUUUGGAUGUGACGGUCCACAUGUUAGAUGCAGAAGGUACAAUGCACGGUUGACAUAUCUACAACAAUAAUAACAUGUUAGCAGCUCGAAACAACUAAUUUUUAGGCUUUGGCUUUCGGAAACGCAGAGAGCAUACUUUAAAGCUAAUUCUGUGUGCUGGAGACGAUAAUAGAAGACGGCCAGGUCGCCGUAGCUUUUCAUUGUGUCUGGAUGAUCAAGUCCAAGCUCCCUUUCAUUUAUGUCGAGUGCUUUCUGCUGAUAAAUGGUAGCCUGAAAAAUCAAAACUGGUUAGUUGCAUGCAGUAGAGACAUUCUUCUGUACAGGAAGUAAAUGAACUGAGCGAUGACUUGGAGACGAUCCCAAAUUCUUUCGAAGUGAAUACCUGGUUAAAGUCCCCAGUAUGGUAAAGCACAACAGCAAGUAGACUAUAUGCUCCGGCGGUCAUUCUAUGAUAUGGGCCGCACACUGCUACAAGCUUCGUCAAUGCCUAUAGAGUUACCCCAGAAUAUCAACUCACUUAAACCGUUUAAAGUAAAUAAAUACAUUCAAUGAAGAAAGUAUCAGAGACAAGCUGAAGGGGUUAAGAAUGUCAGAGACAACCAAUGCCUAUUGAUUCUUUCAGUGCAUAAUCAUCCUUGCCCGUUAAAACAAAACUCACUUAUUCAUAUUUACAUGGGGUUAAGAAUGCCUACUCAGUAAGUCUUAUGCUAGUUCUAAAUAUAAAAUUGGUUGAUAAGGACAAAAGAUGGGCUUAGAAAAUAAAAAUUGUAUUCCAUUGAUUUCAGUUUGUUCGCAGAUGAAGGAUUAUAUAAUGAGUAGUGGCAGGAGAGGUCAUGCAAAGAAGGGAUCAGUGUAUUCAGACUAGUCAAGAGCUUCAUUACAUAGUUCGUAUAUAACAAGAGGAAUGAGAAAGAGAUCAGUUAUACCUUGGUACCAUAACUGACAGCAUCCUCUAGUUUUCCUUUAUCCAAGGAAGUUUUGGAUGACUCCAACAAAGUACGUCCAUCAGCGGAUGAACAUGCAACAUGCUGCACAGAAAAGCAGUAACGUUUAGUCACUUAAUAGUUUCACUUUUCUAUUAUGGCUUAUUACUGAAAUAAGAUAGAUAAACAAUGGUACCUUAUAUACAGGAACCAUACUGAUAAUAUCCAACUUCUUGAAUGGACAUGAUGUGUCCAUCUCAUAGUCUUUAGGAACAAGCUCCAGUCCAACCUAGUGAAACAACAUAUGAAAAAGAGAAUCUAAGGUUAGAAUGUCACAAUUGGAUGAAAAAAAAAAAACAGAUUGACAGUCCCAAACCUUGUGUGACAGUCCCCUAAGAAUGGAGAAUUUUCUCAAUUCCUGGCAACCUUCAUGCUUCCAAUCCCACCCAUAUCUCUUGGAAAUGAAAGUUUCUACCCAGGUCCACUUUAUCUUUUCGUCGUAUUCGCUCUCAGUGUCAGACGGUGUUCCCAAUAGGACAUUUAAGCAUGUUGCUAUUGAGAUGGCUAGAUCAGCAGCGUUUUCAACAGCUGCUACAACAGCCUGCAGUAUAUGCUUGUAUGCUCGAAC
Molecule: long non-coding RNA, 7651 nt
Filed under: Brassica napus (rape)
Lineage: Eukaryota; Viridiplantae; Streptophyta; Magnoliopsida; Brassicales; Brassicaceae
Description: long non-coding RNA (BNAP_LNC003048)
Source: RNAcentral